This 332-nucleotide ribosomal RNA is filed under the name uncultured Acidobacteriaceae bacterium. Its description in RNAcentral is "bacterial SSU rRNA". It matches the Rfam family "Bacterial small subunit ribosomal RNA", at positions 568 to 898 of the family's 1533-position model. Lineage: Bacteria; Pseudomonadati; Acidobacteriota; Terriglobia; Terriglobales; Acidobacteriaceae. The record is from RNAcentral.
CGCGUAGGCGGUUUGCUAAGUUGGAUGUGAAAACUCUGGGCUUAACCCAGAGCCUGCAUCCAAAACUGGCAAACUUGAGUACUGGAGGGGAAAGCGGAAUUCCUGGUGUAGCGGUGAAAUGCGUAGAUAUCAGGAGGAACACCGGUGGCGAAGGCGGCUUUCUGGACAGUAACUGACGCUGAGGCGCGAAAGCUAGGGGAGCAAACAGGAUUAGAUACCCUGGUAGUCCUAGCCCUAAACGAUGGAUACUUGGUGUGAGGGGGAUUGAAUCCCUUCGUGCCGUAGCUAACGCAAUAAGUAUCCCGCCUGGGGAGUACGGUCGCAAGGCUGAA